GGGCGCAGAUCUCUCUGCUUUGGUACGAGAAGCUUCUAUCUGUGCCCUGAGACAGGAAAUGGCAAGACAGAAGAGUGGAAAUGAAAAAGUAGAGACGGGGUUUCACCAUGUUAGCCAGGAUGGUCUCGAUCUCCUGACUUCGUGAUCCGCCUGCCUCGGCCUCCCAAAGUGCUGGGAUUACAGGUGAACUCAAGGUUAGUCAUAAGCAUUUUGAAGAAGCUUUCAAGAAAGUAAGAUCAUCUAUAUCAAAAAAGGAUCAAAUCAUGUAUGAACGUUUGCAGGAGUCCCUCAGCCGGUGAUGUCUCCAGCAGCCGGCUUAGAGGAGCUAGCCCAUCAAGCCGGCAGAGAAUCCCCCACACGCUCUGAAGGACCCACUUUCAGCUGGACACAGGCGCGGCCUCAUGUAAACAUUUUAUUUUCAAAUGAAUGAGGCCAAGCUGAAGCUGAAGCUGAAGAUUCUUCCCAUCUGGCCAGCCUUGUGUGAAAAUGCCUUCUUCCUCUUUAAGAAAAAGGACAAUUUUUAAACUGCUGAAAUAAAAUGACUGUUACAUUUUUCAAAUAAAACUUUUACUUUGAACUAUUUUGACUAUA
RNAcentral lists this long non-coding RNA (591 nucleotides) under Homo sapiens (human). RNAcentral describes it as "non-protein coding lnc-NVL-4:3". The record is from RNAcentral. Lineage: Eukaryota; Metazoa; Chordata; Mammalia; Primates; Hominidae.